Molecule: ribosomal RNA, 497 nt
Filed under: uncultured bacterium
Lineage: Bacteria
Description: partial 16S ribosomal RNA
Rfam family: Bacterial small subunit ribosomal RNA
Source: RNAcentral
GAUGAACGCUGGCGGCGUGCCUAAUACAUGCAAGUCGAGCGAACAGAUGAGGAGCUUGCUCCUCUGACGUUAGCGGCGGACGGGUGAGUAACACGUGGAUAACCUACCUAUAAGACUGGGAUAACUUCGGGAAACCGGAGCUAAUACCGGAUAAUAUAUUGAACCGCAUGGUUCAAUAGUGAAAGACGGUUUUGCUGUCACUUAUAGACGGAUCCGCGCCGCAUUAGCUAGUUGGUAAGGUAACGGCUUACCAAGGCAACGAUGCGUAGCCGACCUGAGAGGGUGAUCGGCCACACUGGAACUGAGGCACGGUCCAGACUCCUACGGGAGGCAGCAGUAGGGAAUCUUCCGCAAUGGGCGAAAGCCUGACGGAGCAACGCCGCGUGAGUGAUGAAGGUCUUCGGAUCGUAAAACUCUGUUAUUAGGGAAGAACAAAUGUGUAAGUAACUAUGCACGUCUUGACGGUACCUAAUCAGAAAGCCACGGCUAACUACGUG